UACGAAGGGGGCUAGCGUUGCUCGGAAUCACUGGGCGUAAAGGGUGCGUAGGCGGGUCUUUAAGUCAGGGGUGAAAUCCUGGAGCUCAACUCCAGAACUGCCUUUGAUACUGAGGAUCUUGAGUUCGGGAGAGGUGAGUGGAACUGCGAGUGUAGAGGUGAAAUUCGUAGAUAUUCGCAAGAACACCAGUGGCAAAGGCGGCUCACUGGCCCGAUACUGACGCUGAGGCACGAAAGCGUGGGGAGCAAACAGG
This 253-nucleotide ribosomal RNA is filed under the name uncultured bacterium. Its description in RNAcentral is "partial 16S ribosomal RNA". It matches the Rfam family "Bacterial small subunit ribosomal RNA", at positions 524 to 776 of the family's 1533-position model. The record is from RNAcentral.